AUGGUCAGCGUCACCGAGCUCUGCCCGUUGUCCCUGGAGAUCGUCACCCGGCCCUUCAACGAUGAUCCAUUCCAUGGCAAAACCCCCGAAAUCGAACCCGGACCCUCGGCAGAGGAGGCGCAGGGACCCCCCGGGGAGCUGGAGGUCCCCCCCGGACUCCAGCAGGCACCAAUCCAGUCAUUUAUUUUUUGGACAUGUCCUCUUGUCCUUUCCAUCCCCCCAUCCCCAUCUCCCCUUUUUCCCGCAGGGCUCCGGGCGGCCGUGACCCUGCUGGAGUCCGGGGGGGACCUCCAGCCCCCCGGGGGGUCCCUGCGCCUCCUCUGCCGAGGGUCCGGCUUCAGUUUCGGCAGUUUCUCCAUGUACUGGAUCCGCCAGAGACCCGGGCAGGCGCUGGAGUGGCUCGCGGGGAUCAGGUACGAUGGUGCUUACACCUGGUACGCGCCAUCGGUGAAGGGCCGGGUGACGAUCUCCAGGGACAACGGGCAGAGCUCGGUGACGCUGACCAUGAACAGCCUCAAGGACGAGGAUUCCGGAUCCUAUUUCUGCGGGAAAUGUGGUUUUGCUGGUUGCAAUUACGAGGCUUAUGGUGUUGAU
Molecule: non-coding RNA, 594 nt
Organism: Pyrgilauda ruficollis (rufous-necked snowfinch)
Lineage: Eukaryota; Metazoa; Chordata; Aves; Passeriformes; Passeridae
Source: the annotation of a RefSeq genome assembly